UACAGAGGGGGCAAGCGUUGUUCGGAAUUACUGGGCGUAAAGGGCGCGUAGGCGGCCUUUUGAGUCAGACGUGAAAUCCCCCGGCUUAACCUGGGAACUGCGUCUGAUACUGGAAGGCUUGAGUGCGGGAGAGGGAUGUGGAAUUCCAGGUGUAGCGGUGAAAUGCGUAGAUAUCUGGAGGAACACCGGUGGCGAAGGCGGCAUCCUGGACCGACACUGACGCUGAGGCGCGAAAGCGUGGGGAGCAAACAGG
This 253-nucleotide ribosomal RNA is filed under the name uncultured bacterium. RNAcentral describes it as "partial 16S ribosomal RNA". It matches the Rfam family "Bacterial small subunit ribosomal RNA", at positions 524 to 776 of the family's 1533-position model. The record is from RNAcentral.